Molecule: long non-coding RNA, 1622 nt
Filed under: Olea europaea subsp. europaea
Lineage: Eukaryota; Viridiplantae; Streptophyta; Magnoliopsida; Lamiales; Oleaceae
Source: RNAcentral
CGCUCUUGUAAUAUAGCUCCUGCUGCAAAGUUUAUAUCCCCAACUGAUAUGCAUCUCCAUAGACUUUUUUGAACGUGUUUUUCAAUAUUGAUCUCGAGAGAGUUUGCUAAUUAGUACUCUGUAAGAAGAAGUUAAUGCUAAAACAUAAUAUUUAUAUAUUAACCUCACGGUCCUCACCUGAUGUAGUUUGCUAAUUAGUACUAUGUGGGAUCAAAUUAAUACUAAACAUAAUAUAAAAGAUAUUAAACUCACCUGACGUAGUACCCUUCUAGAUGGAAUAGUUUCACAUUGGAGUAUGCCAGAGAUCAUUUUAUAUUUGAUGAAAGAAACCAAAGUCAAAAGAAAGCAACAAUGUCAGAUCUGAUUACCACGCAACAAAAGCUAGGACUGAGUAAAUGCUGAUAAACAAAGAAAUGUUAGAAAAUGGGCUUUAAAAGUCUUACAUAUUAAAUCACUUUCCACACAUGAAAACGGCUACAUUAUCGUAGAUGUAAUUGUGGCAGCUACAACUCCCCACCAUCCACAUAUACUGGCAGCUACAGCUCCUCCUCCUUCGAUCAUAAUUUCCUCCAAGGAUGAAGUCUAGCCCAAGUGAAUCUCAAUCUUGAUCUACCAUAAUUUAUCUUAAGAACCAAGUCUAGAUUGAGCGAGUCACAACUACAUUCAAGUAUAACUACCCUCCAAAGGUUGUAGUUGAGCCCAAGUAAGUUUUGGCAUCGACCAACUAUGAUUUAUCAUAAGGACUGAGGAGUUGAGACGAGACUGUCUCAACCACGAUCGAGCAUGAUUUAUCCUCACGUCGAGUCCAACCCGAGUAACUCUCAAUUUUGUUUGAGCUUAAUUUUUUUUUUUUAAAGUUCGAGUCUAGCUUAAACCUAGACUUUGUUAGAGAACAUUUCAUUUAUGGAUUGAAACAAGCUUGAGCAAGUCUCGACCUAGUUCACAUGUAAGUCCAAGUGAGCCCAAACCAGGUUUGAGCAUAUUUCCUCUAAAAGUAAGUCUUGAUCUUGUUCAAUCAACAAAAAGGAUAGAGUCGAGCAUUAGAGACUCUCAACCUUCUUUGUUAAUUCAUCCUACGGUGAAGUCGAUGAGCACAAGCAAGUCUUGAACGUAAUUUGAGAAUAAUCCUUCUUAAAGAAGAAGUUCAGCUCGGGAAGUCUCAAAUCUUGUUUGAGCAUAUUCAUCCUAAGGGCAGAAUUGUGUCCAGUUGACUUCCAACACUAUUCAAGCAUAAAAGUCUUCUGGGAUAAGUCGAACGAAAAUAUGAAGAUUGUAUGAUUAAGAUCUAACUACUUGAUGUGCUUAAUUAUUAUGUUUUCUUUUUAUCACAAAGAUUUACCUUGUUGCUUCAAGUUCGACGAUGUAAUUGAGUUCUCGAACAGGUUAAGGUCUCAUUUGAUUGCACGAAAUUUUCCAUGGAACUUGGAAUUCGAACUCCAAUUUCCACUUUUGGCCUGUUUGAUUGACAAAAUUUUCCAAUGAAUUGAUUUUCCAUGAAUUUCUAGUACAACACCUUAAAGUAGAUUUUCCAUCUUUUAUUUUUCUAGGGGAUAGGUGGUUUUUGGUUUUCCACAUUUUUUUUUAAUUGUUAGCAAUGAGAACAAAUUUUAGGAACAAUUGUA